RNAcentral lists this ribosomal RNA (457 nucleotides) under uncultured bacterium. RNAcentral describes it as "bacterial SSU rRNA". It matches the Rfam family "Bacterial small subunit ribosomal RNA", at positions 346 to 793 of the family's 1533-position model. The record is from RNAcentral.
AGGCAGCAGUGGGGAAUAUUGCACAAUGGGCGCAAGCCUGAUGCAGCCAUGCCGCGUGUAUGAAGAAGGCCUUCGGGUUGUAAAGUACUUUCAGCAGUGAGGAAGGUGGGUAUGUUAAUAGCAUACUCAUUUGACGUUAGCUGCAGAAGAAGCACCGGCUAACUCCGUGCCAGCAGCCGCGGUAAUACGGAGGGUGCGAGCGUUAAUCGGAAUUACUGGGCGUAAAGCGCAUGCAGGUGGUUUGUUAAGUCAGAUGUGAAAGCCCCGGGGCUCAACCUCGGAAUUGCAUUUGAAACUGGCAAACUAGAGUACUGUAGAGGGGGUAGGAAUUUCAGGUGUAGCGGUGAAAUGCGUAGAGAUCUGAAGGAAUACCGGUGGCGAAGGCGGCCCCCUCGGACAGAUACUGACACUCAGAUGCGAAAGCGUGGGGAGCAAACAGGAUUAGAUACCCUGGUAG